GAACCGUCCAAACGUUAUUCGGGAAUUACUGGGGCUUAAAGGGUGCGUAGGCGGCUUGGCAAGUUGGGGGGUGUGAAAUCCCUCGGGCUCAACCGAGGGAACUGCGCUCAAAAACUGCCAAGCUAGAGGAAGAUAGAGGUGAGCGGAACUAAUGGUGGAGCGGUGAAAUGCGUUGAUAUCAUUAGGAACACCUGUGGCGAAAGCGGCUCACUGGGUCUUUUCUGACGCUGAGGCACGAAAGCUAGGGUAGCGAACGGGAUUAGAUACCCCGGUAGUCCUAGCUGUAAACGAUGAGCACUAGGUUGGAGGCUCCUCCAUAGGCUUCCGACCGAAGCGAAAGUGUUAAGUGCUCCGCCUGGGGAGUAUGGUCGCAAAGGCUG
Molecule: ribosomal RNA, 380 nt
Filed under: uncultured organism
Description: partial 16S ribosomal RNA
Rfam family: Bacterial small subunit ribosomal RNA
Source: RNAcentral